This 75-nucleotide transfer RNA is filed under the name bacterium. RNAcentral describes it as "tRNA-Thr". It matches the Rfam family "tRNA". Rfam says of the family: Transfer RNA (tRNA) molecules are approximately 80 nucleotides in length. Their secondary structure includes four short double-helical elements and three loops (D, anti-codon, and T loops). The record is from RNAcentral.
GCCGAUGUAGCUCAGCGGUAGAGCGGGUGAUUCGUAAUCACCAGGUCGUGGGUUCAAAUCCCACCGUCGGCUCCA